Molecule: long non-coding RNA, 1530 nt
Filed under: Olea europaea (common olive)
Lineage: Eukaryota; Viridiplantae; Streptophyta; Magnoliopsida; Lamiales; Oleaceae
Description: long non-coding RNA (OEUR_LNC011912)
Source: RNAcentral
UCUUCUUUCUUUCUUCGUUUUUACAAGCAUACUUUAUAGGAUCUCUCUUAAUAAGUUCAAUACAUUGGAAGUAGUGGUUCCCAUGGUUGCAGAAAAAUAUAAGUUUAGACUUCGCUUGCCUUCACAUUGAAAGUAGCGGUUCCCAUGGUUGCAGAAAAAUGUAAGUUUAGACUUCAUUAACCUUACCUCUGAGGCUAGAUUCUCAAAGACUUCAUGUUGACCUAUGAAAUCAGGCUAAUAAAGGACUUCAUACACGAUUGCCGAUACAUCAAAAAGUUCACCCCCUUUUGCCUUGUUUAUUUUAUACCUACCAGAUAAAGCUAGAAACCCUUCCUGGUGGCCAGAUGAAAUAGAACUCAGACAACAAUGGCAACAAGAAAUCACUGAAUAAGCUAUUCCACCACCAGAAAAUUAUUACUUGCACAAAUAAGAAAAAGUCAAUUUCCAUUUUCAUCUCAAGAUUUCGCACGCUUCUCAAGCAAUACUUAUCCCAAUUGUUGACUUGACAGCUAUCAUGGAUGCAUGAAAAUGUCUGCACUCUAUGUGCAAUUGCAAUAGCCAUUUAUUGCUUAUCUAUUUGUACACAAAGCACCCAAAAUGUUGAAGCAAUAACUUAAGGAAUGAGUAACCCAAAAUUUCAACUAAAAAAUUUCCGUAUCAAUGAAGCAAUUCAAGGAUACAUGUUUAGCACCACAAAAAAAACUGAGUUAUAUGAUUUAAAAGUGAUUUUAUAGCAUUCCAGUGUCCUGUCUCUUUCUCUUUACUUUACAAGGAAGAUAGUGAUAAUUUUUUGAUUUUUAUCAGCUCUAAUGUCCAGCACAGAUUUAUAAAACUAGAUAGUGCGUUGACAUAAGUGAUGAUUACAAAAGAUACAGGUAGAUAACAUUAAAUGGGUGAAACCUGAAGAUGAAACCUUAAUAUGGCAUAUUCUUCAAGGAGGAUUAAAUUCCCAUCUCUUAACAGAAGAGGAAAAAGUAGAUUAUUCAUAUAAAAUCAGCUUGAGGGCAAACACAUACAAAUCUAUUCAAAAAAGUAAGGUGACUGGAUAGGAUUGGUUAUGAGAAUAUCCUAUGCAUAGUUGAGAACUGUGAAAACCACUUGAUUGUGCACAUGAUAACAGUUUGACAUUAAUUCCUCCAUUUAUACGUUCACAUGACUUGCAAAUCAAAAGCCUCAGCAUUGUAAUGCGUACUCAAAACUCCUAAUAACAGUACCAAAUAAAGAGUAUAUCCAUCAGUUGAAACUUAAAUUCACUGUCAUAAAUAUGAGAAUUUCAAGCUUUAUAAGUUCACCCACACACCCCUAUGCACCUAACAUUUGAUUCGGCAAAGUGUUGAAAGCACAAUACUGAAUGCAUAUUUUUUUGGAGCAUUUGAUAGAACAGGUAGAGUGCAGGAUUAGGUUAAACAAGUUCUUCUAUUUUUGAUUACUUGUUUAUGAUUGAACCCUUAUUCAGUUGAAACUAACUCCAAAUCCAUUAUAGUGGGUUCAGAUAAUAUGAUCAUCAAUUAAACUACUGUAGCAAAGCAU